UGCAUUGUAUAAUGUACAAGAUAUAGUCCAAGAGUGAAACAAUGUGAUGGAUGAGGAAGUAGAAAUUUAUCUACCACUUCGUCUCUUGAAGCUGCAGUUUUCCGGUGUCUUUUUUACCCUAAAGGGAAGAAAAGAGUGCCUGAUAACAUUCAAGAAGUAUUGAAAAAUCCAUUAAGUUUAGCAAUUUGGUAUAUGGAUGAUGGCAACCUAGAUAAUAGGUACAAAUAUCAUCUCAAUUCCAGUUUUGCUACUUUUUGUUUCAGCUAUAAAGAAUGUAAUCUGUUGGCUGAAGCUCUAAAAUCAAAUUUUGGAGUGGAGGCAAGAGUACACAAGAGUACCAUGCGAGGUAAAGAAUACUAUCGACUUUACAUAGUUGCUAGUUCAAUGAAGCGUUUUGUCAAAACGAUAAAAAACUUCAUCGUUCCUUGUAUGCAAUACAAGGUCUCGUGUGAGAAAACUUUGUAGUCAUUACCAGCAGCUGCGGUAAUACGUAGGAUGCAAGCGUUACCCGGAUUUAUUGGGCGUAAAGUGUUUCGUAGGCGCCUUGGAAAGUCAAAUUUCAAAUACUUUGGCUCAACCAAAGAAAGGGGUUUGAUACUUCCAGGGUUGGAUUACCUAGGGGUUACCGGAACUACUGGUGUAGGAGUUAAAUCCGUUGAUAUCAGUAGGAACACCAAGGGCGAAGGCAGGUAACUGGGGGUAUAUCGACGCUGAGGAACGAAAGCUAGGGGAGCGAAAGGGAUUAGAGACCCCUGUAGUCCUAUGCAGUAAACUAUCCUCGCUACCCCGGUGGGAGCAAUCUUGUCGGGGGAAGCUAACGCAAUAAGCGAGGCGCCUGGGGAGUACGAACGCAAGUUUAAAACUCAAAGGAAUUGACGGGGACCCGCACAACCAGUGGAGCAUGUGGUUUAAUUCGAAACGAACCGAAGAACCUUACCUAGGUUUGACAUGCUACCGUUUUACGCUUUUAGAAAUAAGAGCGGAUCUGAAAUUUUUUGGAUGGUAGCACAGGUGUUGCAUGGCCGUCGUCAGCUCGUGCCGUAGGGUGUUCCCUUCAGUGGGGUAACGAGCGCAACCCCUGUCCUGUGUUAAAUAUUCACAGGAGACUGCUCGCCUUUGGCGAGAGGAAGUGGGGACGACGUCAGGUCAGCAUGGCCCUUAUACCUAGGGCAACACACAUACUACAAUGGAGCCGACAAUGGGUUGCCAAGCCGCAAGGCGGAGCUAAUCCCAAAAACGGCUUCUCAGUGGGGAUUGAAGGCUGCAACUCGCCUUCAUGAACGUGGAAUUGGUAGUAAUCGGCAGUCAGCUAUAUGCCGGUGAAUACGUUCUCGGGUCUUGUACACAAUCGUCCGUAUUUACGGACAAAAAGCGCGCUGGGCAGUUUAACAAGCAAGGUGGUUUGAAUCCAUCUUAAUAGCCAAAAAAAUUUAGCAGAAGCAUUCUGGCGACAGACGCUUCGGAGGGCUUGAGGCAA
This 1477-nucleotide ribosomal RNA is filed under the name Candidatus Woesebacteria bacterium RIFOXYA1_FULL_43_9. RNAcentral's name for it is "bacterial SSU rRNA". The stretch from base 289 to 1428 matches the Rfam family "Bacterial small subunit ribosomal RNA". The record is from RNAcentral. Lineage: Bacteria; Candidatus Woeseibacteriota.